GUUUACGGCCACACCACCCUGAACACGCCCGAUCUCGUCUGAUCUCGGAAGCUAAGCAGGGCCGGGCCUGGUUAGUACUUGGAUGGGAGACCGCCUGGGAAUACCAGGUGCUGUAAGUU
RNAcentral lists this ribosomal RNA (119 nucleotides) under Oryzias javanicus (javanese ricefish). Lineage: Eukaryota; Metazoa; Chordata; Actinopteri; Beloniformes; Adrianichthyidae. The record is from RNAcentral.